RNAcentral lists this ribosomal RNA (630 nucleotides) under uncultured delta proteobacterium. RNAcentral describes it as "bacterial SSU rRNA". It matches the Rfam family "Bacterial small subunit ribosomal RNA", at positions 59 to 687 of the family's 1533-position model. The record is from RNAcentral. Lineage: Bacteria; Deltaproteobacteria.
GAGUCGAGCGAGAAAGUCCUUUCGGGGACAAGUACAGCGGCGAACGGGUGAGCAACACGUAAGAAUCUACCCUUUAGUGAAGAAUACCCUCGAGAAAUCGAGGUUAAUACUGCAUACGUCCCUUCGGGGAGAAAGAUGGCCUCUUUGCUAUCGCUAAAGGAGGAGCUUGCGCACUAUUAGCUAGUUGGUGGGGUAAAGGCCUACCAAGGCAAUGAUGGUUAACCGGCCUGAGAGGGUGUUCGGUCACACUGGAACUUAGACACGGUCCAGACUCCUACGGGAGGCAGCAGUGAGGAAUCUUGCACAAUGGGCGAAAGCCUGAUGCAGCGACGCCGCGUGGAGGAUGAAGGUCUUCGGAUUGUAAACUCCUGUUAAGUGGGAAGAAAAGUCUAUUCCUAAUACGAGUAGAUUAUGACGGUACCAUUAGAGAAAGCACCGGCUAACUUCGUGCCAGCAGCCGCGGUAAUACGAGGGGUGCGAGCGUUAUUCGGAAUCAUUGGGCGUACAGGGCGCGUAGACGGCAUAUUAAGUCAACUGUUAAAUUUCCCGGCCUAACCGGGAGCCAGCAGUAGAUACUGAUGUGCUAGAGGAUGGAAGAGAGAAGUGGAAUUCUCGGAGUAGCGGUAAAAU